Molecule: long non-coding RNA, 712 nt
Organism: Poecilia reticulata (guppy)
Lineage: Eukaryota; Metazoa; Chordata; Actinopteri; Cyprinodontiformes; Poeciliidae
Source: RefSeq, a predicted model, not a curated record
GUUGUUCGCCAAUCGCCUAUAUACCUACUUCUUCGCCUUGAAAGAAGAAGUAGCACCACUGAGAAAGGACAGAAACUGUUUUGAAUGAAAGUUUUCCAAAACAAUUAAGAAGUUAUUUUUGGAAUACCCUCUAUUAAGUAAAAGCUUGGACUGGACUUUAUGCUCAGUGCUACACUGGAUGGAGACAUUGGGGCCUUUAGCAAGAGAAGCUGCCUUCAUCAAGUUUCCAUUCAAUGGAUUGCCAGCCCCAGUUGUAAUCAGUGAACUUUCUGAAGACCCCUGUGACGGAGCGAUGACCUGUCCAGGUGCCUCCUGACCUUUGACUGCCAGGGAGAUUGUGUAGAAACAGAGGAGGAAGACCAGGAACUGAACCCAGAAGAGCAAUGAGUACGAAAGUUUCUUCAGAUGCUUCCACCAACUGAACCAUGCAGGGCCCCAUUAACAGGAUACAACUUUCCAGCAUCACAGUGGAAUCCUGAGAUUCUGGAGACGAAGAUGACUGCUGGAGGAACUUAGUGUGUCGCCAUCAUUGAGACAAAUUAUAGAAAUGACUUUUAGAGUGUCAACCUAGCCGUUUCUAAUUUGAAGUUUCAGUGGAGGAAAAAAAAGUAAAAACUUUGCAUCUGUUCCAUAAAUCCUGUGUGAUUUAUCAGAAUUAGCUAAAUGAUCUCAUUAAAUGCUUUAAUAAAGAUGAACCCUAAUGGCCCAGACA